RNAcentral lists this ribosomal RNA (690 nucleotides) under Triticum aestivum (bread wheat). RNAcentral's name for it is "partial small subunit ribosomal RNA". The record is from RNAcentral. Lineage: Eukaryota; Viridiplantae; Streptophyta; Magnoliopsida; Poales; Poaceae.
AUGGUGCUCCUGCAUUUGGGGUUUAGAUAUGUGCAGCAGAAGAACUACUUCAGUUCUAAUCCUAAACUCAUCUGGAGUCUAUCUGGUUUUACACAACGCGUGACUGUCCAGAUAUCAUUACUAGCUUCCGUCAUAGCUGGGAUCAAUGAAAGAGUCUGUACUUGCAACCUAUUAACCAAAAUAGCAAUGUGUUGUGAUUUUGAGGUCAGUGGCCAAAACAAUUCUGUACUUACAACCUGCACGAUGGUUUCUGUGGCCCUCCUCCGAUCAGAGCACUACUAUGCAAUAAACAUAGCCUUUGCACAAUUCAAGCUGUCAAUUAUGCAAACACCUUGGAUACACUGUGUAUCUAUUGCCGAGAAUGUCAGGAGUCCCUAUUCAGCGGUGUUCAACAUCAACGAGAUUAUUAUUCAGCUUCAGAGUGUGAUUGCAUAUGUUGCUCAUUAUCUCUUUUCCCAUGUUGGCAGUACUAAGUGGCUUCGCACUGAUGCAAGACGAACAGCAGCCGGCUUAGAUGAGUCACUUGAGUGGUGUCUUGAAAACAACAUGAGCAAGACUGGGGUUGAUGGGCAUUUGCGACUGUCCCUUUUUGAUGGAAAUGUUUUUCAGCUGAAUGAAUCCCACCUUGUCAAGCAAAAGAUCAGUGAUCUCGUGCAAGGUCCAAAUGUUACCGUGAUCAUGGCUCUAUAG